This 433-nucleotide long non-coding RNA is filed under the name Ananas comosus (pineapple). RNAcentral describes it as "long non-coding RNA (ACOM_LNC030447)". The record is from RNAcentral. Lineage: Eukaryota; Viridiplantae; Streptophyta; Magnoliopsida; Poales; Bromeliaceae.
CUAUUUUUCGGGGCCACUUCCUGCCGAUCGGAACAGUUUGUAACCGCUUGCGGUUAUUGUUACUUCCCUCAGUUAUAUGCGGUGCUUCUUCCGCUGCUCCCGGUGGACAUAAAAAUUUCUACUCUUAGGUAUCGUUUGGUUCGGGGAUAAGCAAAAAGUGGUUAUUCCAGGGAUAGGUAUAAAUUGAGGUAUAAGCGGGGAUUAGAUCAAUUUUGUGUUUGGAUGAAAAUUAGGUUAUUCCUGGGAAUAAAAAAAUUAGUGUUUGGUUUGGUAAGCUGGAAUAAGACGGAUAGUGGAUUUUUAUAAAUAAAAAAUAAUGAUAUUACCUCUUAUUAUAAUUUAAAUUUAAAAUUUAAAAUUCAGAAUUUAAAAUUAUAAACUUUAAUUUUGAGGUUACAAAUUAUAAAUUUUAAAAAUUUAAAAUUUUAAAAUA